UNCGGNGGGUGCAAGCGUUANUNGGANUCACUGGGCGUAAAGCGCACGUNGGCGGCUUGGUAAGUCAGGGGUGAANUCCCNNAGCCCAACUGUGGAACUGCCUUUGAUACUNCCAGGCUUGAGUACCGGAGAGGGUGGCGGAAUUNCAGGUGUAGGAGUGAAAUCCGUAGAUAUCUGGAGGAACACCGGUGGCGAAGGCGGCCACCUGGACGGUAACUGACGCUGAGGUGCGAAAGCGUGGGUAGCAAACAGGAUUAGAUACCCUGGUAGUCCACGCUGUAAACGAUGGGUGCUGGGUGCUGGGAUGUAUGUCUCGGUGCCGUAGCUAACGCGAUAAGCACCCCGCCUGGGGAGUACGGUCGCAAGGCUGAAACUCAAAGAAAUUGACGGGGGCCCGCACAAGCGGUGGAGUAUGUGGUUUAAUUCGAUGCAACGCGAAGAACCUUACCCAGGCUUGACAUCUAGGGAACCCUUCGGAAAUGAAGGGGUGCCCUUCGGGGAGCCCUAAGACAGGUGCUGCAUGGCUGUCGUCAGCUCGUGCCGUGAGGUGUUGGGUUAAGUCCCGCACCGAGCGCAACCCCUAUCUUCAGUUGCCAGCAGGUAAGGCUGGGCACUCUGGAGAGACCGCCCCGGUCAACGGGGAGGAAGGUGGGGACGACGUCAAGUCAUCAUGGCCCUUACGCCUGGGGCUACACACGUACUACAAUGGCGCGCACAAAGGGUAGCGAGACCGCGAGGUGGAGCCAAUCCCAAAAAACGCGUCCCAGUCCGGAUUGGAGUCUGCAACUCGACUCCAUGAAGUCGGAAUCGCUAGUAAUUCGAGAUCAGCAUGCUCGGGUGAAUGCGUUCCCGGGCCUUGUACACACCGCCCGUCACACCACGAAAGUCGGUUUUACCCGAAGCCGGUGAGCUAACUCGCAAGAGAAGCAGCCGUCUACGGUAGGGCUGAUGAUUGGGGUGAAGUCGUAACAAGGUAGCAAUCACUAGUGAAUUCGCGGCCGCCUGCAGGUCGACCAUAUGGGAGAGCUCCCAACG
Molecule: ribosomal RNA, 1035 nt
Filed under: uncultured Bilophila sp.
Lineage: Bacteria; Pseudomonadati; Thermodesulfobacteriota; Desulfovibrionia; Desulfovibrionales; Desulfovibrionaceae
Description: bacterial SSU rRNA
Rfam family: Bacterial small subunit ribosomal RNA
Source: RNAcentral